This 545-nucleotide ribosomal RNA is filed under the name Termitomyces sp. Group4. RNAcentral's name for it is "eukaryotic LSU rRNA". It matches the Rfam family "Eukaryotic large subunit ribosomal RNA", at positions 1 to 544 of the family's 3401-position model. The record is from RNAcentral. Lineage: Eukaryota; Fungi; Basidiomycota; Agaricomycetes; Agaricales; Lyophyllaceae.
UUGACCUCAAAUCAGGUAGGACUACCCGCUGAACUUAAGCAUAUCAAUAAGCGGAGGAAAAGAAACUAACAAGGAUUCCCCUAGUAACUGCGAGUGAAGCGGGAAAAGCUCAAAUUUGAAAUCUGGUAGUCUUUGGCUGCCCGAGUUGUAAUCUAGAGAAGCAUUAUCUGCGCUGGACUGUGUAUAAGUGUCCUGGAAUAGACCAUCAUAGAGGGUGACAAUCCCGUCUUUGACACAGACUCCCAGUGCUUUGUGAUGUGCUCUCAAAGAGUCGAGUUGUUUGGGAAUGCAGCUCUAAAUGGGUGGUAAGUUCCAUCUAAAGCUAAAUAUUGGCGAGAGACCGAUAGCGAACAAGUACCGUGAGGGAAAGAUGAAAAGAACUUUGUAAAGAGAGUUAAACAGUACGUGAAAUUGCUGAAAGGGAAACGCUUGAAGUCAGUCGCGUUGGCUGGGGAUCAACCAUUGCUUUUGCUUGGCUUACUUCCCAGUUGACGGGUCAGCAUCAGUUUUGACCAGUGGAUAAAGGCUAGGGGAAUGUGGCACCU